This 1178-nucleotide long non-coding RNA is filed under the name Gadus morhua (Atlantic cod). Its description in RNAcentral is "lncRNA (ENSGMOG00000031764.1)". Lineage: Eukaryota; Metazoa; Chordata; Actinopteri; Gadiformes; Gadidae. The record is from RNAcentral.
AGUCAUUGGACAGCAGGGUUGAACUAACUCAUCUAACUGGCAACCUUUAAAAUACAGCAGGGGGGAUGGGUGGUGGGAGGGGGGUUGGGGGAGACAGACGAGGGAGGGAAGGGACAUUUAGGUGGAGAAAUUCUAGAGACACCCUCAUAGAUAUGCACAUUCACACACACACACACACACACACACACACACACACACACACACACACACACACACACACACACACACACACAACAACACACACCCAUACACACACACACACACGAACACACACACACACAGUUGGUUAGCUAUGCUUACCUUUGUUAGCUGUUAGCUUAGCUUUGUUUUGUAUGGUUUCUUUCUUUGGCAACACUCAAGUCCCGAGGUUUUGGUUGAAUCGUAGUGUUGUACGUGUUUGUUGACACCAGUCAACUCUAUGUUCAUCAUUAUCUGUUGUUUUCCAUGGUUUUAUUGUUGACCCACAAUCUACUGCACGCUUGCACAUGCGCACAUGCAUCCACUCAGAAACAAACACACGCAAACAUUUCCAAAACAUAUAUCAACGUGAUCUUUUAAAUGUUCUUGCAGAUGAAAUGGUAGUAGGCCUAUACUCUCCCUUAUACAUGGGCAUGUUAGCCAUGCUCAUAGUUAGCUGUAGCCUAUAGACAAACCUUACAAUAAGUGAGACAAGCAAUAGCUUAGCCUACUAAUGGGUUAGCCAUGCUAUAGUUGAGCCUAGCCAAAGGCUAGCCAUGCUAUGGUGAGAUAGUGAGUGAGAAAAGGUUAGGCUUUAUUGUUAACGCCACUUCAAACUGCACUAACGUGGGUGUGUGCAUGUGUGUAUGUGUGUGUUUGUGUGUUUCAGACUGCGAGCCCACGGAGGUUUCAGACUGGUCUUUUGAUGAGAACUGUCUCUUCUGCUGCUCGAGGCGGGAGAAAAAGGUGAAGAAGCGGACAGAAGAGGACCGUGUUGUGGACAGCCAGGUGAACCAGAGUGACGAGCAGUCUAGGAUCUGUCUGGAGAGGCAGGCACAAGACUUCCUCAAUGCUGUGUUGCACAGGAAAGGUACAGACAAAAAUACACACACACACACAAGCAUGUGAAUAGCUUUCAAAAAACGUACACGAAAUUACGUAUAUGUGGACGUUCAUUAUUUAUUAUAAUUAAUGCUUAACCAGACAGUUAAAAGACAUCA